Non-coding RNA from Podarcis lilfordi (Lilford's wall lizard), 76 nucleotides. Lineage: Eukaryota; Metazoa; Chordata; Lepidosauria; Squamata; Lacertidae. The record is from the annotation of a GenBank genome assembly.
GCUUGAGGCAUAGCUCAGUCCCCAGAGCAUGAGACUCUUAAUCUCAGGUUCGUGGGUUCGAACCCCACGUUAGGCG